Molecule: non-coding RNA, 118 nt
Filed under: Saimiri boliviensis boliviensis (Bolivian squirrel monkey)
Lineage: Eukaryota; Metazoa; Chordata; Mammalia; Primates; Cebidae
Source: RNAcentral
GGGUCGGAGAGAAGGUUGGCAUUCCCCUUGACAAGGAUGGAAGAGGCUCUUGGGCCUGACAACAAGCAUUUAGUAAAGGCAUUGCCACCUACUUCGUGGCAUCUAACCAUUAUUAAAU